RNAcentral lists this small RNA (71 nucleotides) under Rhodomonas sp. CCMP768. RNAcentral describes it as "partial Cyanobacteria transfer-messenger RNA". Lineage: Eukaryota; Cryptophyceae; Pyrenomonadales; Pyrenomonadaceae. The record is from RNAcentral.
GAAAGGACGUUGACGGAAACCUGCUCGUCGGGUGUGAGCACAUGAGUGAACAUCAAUCGUUUCUCUUUCCA